CCCAGCGGCAGUCAGCUGCGCAGGCCUGCCCCGUGCCUGAGCCAGUGUUACUCUGCUGGGAGAUGAAGGCGCUGUCGCUGUGGCCGGGCGCUGGCAGACACUGUUUUAGUGGCUGCCGAUGCCAGGCUGCGACGGUGCCGCGCCCCUCUGAGAGUGGGCUGUGCCCCACCCAUUGGGGGCAGCCCUAGUCUGGGGGGCGAACAUU
Molecule: small nucleolar RNA, 205 nt
Organism: Anguilla rostrata (American eel)
Lineage: Eukaryota; Metazoa; Chordata; Actinopteri; Anguilliformes; Anguillidae
Product: small nucleolar RNA SNORA74
Exons: 1
Source: RefSeq, a predicted model, not a curated record